GAUGAAGAACGCAGCGAAAUGCGAUACGUAAUGUGAAUUGCAGAAUUCAGUGAAUCAUCGAAUCUUUGAACGCAUAUUGCGCUCUCUGGUAUUCCGGAGAGCAUGCUUGUUUGAGUAUCAGUAAACACCUCAACUCCCCUUUCUUUUUUGAAAUGGGAGCUGGACUUGAGUGAUCCCAACGCUUUUCUCACCGAAAAGUGGCGGGUUACUUGAAAUGCAGGUGCAGCUGGACUUUUCUCUGAGCUAAAAGCAUAUCUAUUUAGUCUGCCUAAAAACAGAUUAUUACCUUUGCUGCAGCUAACAUAAAGGAGAUUAGUUCUUGUGCUGACUGAUGCAGGAUUCACAGAGACAGCUUCGGCUGGCCUUUGUAAACUCGACCUCAAAUCAAGUAAGACUACCCGCUGAACUUAAGCAUAUCAAUAAGCGGAGGA
This 431-nucleotide unclassified non-coding RNA is filed under the name soil metagenome. RNAcentral describes it as "partial contains 5.8S ribosomal RNA, internal transcribed spacer 2, and large subunit ribosomal RNA". The stretch from base 1 to 120 matches the Rfam family "5.8S ribosomal RNA", at positions 35 to 154 of the family's 154-position model. The record is from RNAcentral.